GACGAACGCUGGCGGCGUGCUUAACACAUGCAAGUCGAACGGAAAGGCCUCUUUCGGGGGGUACUCGAGUGGCGAACGGGUGAGUAACACGUGAGUAACCUGCCCUUGACUUUGGGAUAACUUCAGGAAACUGGGGCUAAUACCGGAUAGGAGCUCCUGCUGCAUGGUGGGGGUUGGAAAGUUUCGGCGGUUGGGGAUGGACUCGCGGCUUAUCAGCUUGUUGGUGGGGUAGUGGCUUACCAAGGCCAUGACGGGUAGCCGGCCUGAGAGGGUGACCGGCCACAUUGAGACUGAGAUGCGGCCCAGACUCCUACGGGUGGCAGCAGUGGGGAAUAUUGCACAAUGGGUGGAGGCCUGAUGCAGCAACGCCGUGUGCGGGAGGACGGCCUUCGGGUUGUAGACCGCUUUCGCUCAUGACGAAGCUUUGUGUGACGGUAGUGGGUAAAGAAGCACCGGCUAACUACGUG
RNAcentral lists this ribosomal RNA (467 nucleotides) under uncultured bacterium. RNAcentral describes it as "partial 16S ribosomal RNA". It matches the Rfam family "Bacterial small subunit ribosomal RNA", at positions 28 to 507 of the family's 1533-position model. The record is from RNAcentral.